GACGAACGCUGGCGGCGUGCUUAACACAUGCAAGUCGAACGGAAAGGCCCUGCUUUUGUGGGGUGCUCGAGUGGCGAACGGGUGAGUAACACGUGAGUAUCCUGCCCCUGACUUUGGGGUAUCUUCAGGAAACUGGGGCUAAUACCGGAUAGGAGCUCCUGCUGCAUGGUGGGGGUUGGAAAGUUUCGGCGGUUGGGGAUGGACUCGCGGCUUAUCAGCUUGUUGGUGGGGUAGUGGCUUACCAAGGCUUUGACCGGUAGCCGGCCUGAGAGGGUGACCGGCCACAUUGGGACUGAGAUACGGCCCAGACGCCUACGGGAGGCAGCGGGGGGGAAUAUUGCACAAUGGGCGGAAGCGUGAUGCAGCAACGCCGCGUGCGGGAUGACGGCCUUCGGGUUGUAAACCGCUUUCGCCUGUGACGAAGCGUGAGUGACGGUAAUGGGUAAAGAAGCACCGGCUAACUACGUG
RNAcentral lists this ribosomal RNA (468 nucleotides) under uncultured bacterium. RNAcentral's name for it is "partial 16S ribosomal RNA". It matches the Rfam family "Bacterial small subunit ribosomal RNA", at positions 28 to 507 of the family's 1533-position model. The record is from RNAcentral.